This 1498-nucleotide long non-coding RNA is filed under the name Mus musculus (house mouse). RNAcentral's name for it is "predicted gene 28613". The record is from RNAcentral. Lineage: Eukaryota; Metazoa; Chordata; Mammalia; Rodentia; Muridae.
AUUCUCUAUCUGAUGGAGGGCAAAAAUUUCCAUUUAACUGUGUCUCACAUCGAACUCCUCAUUUGAAAGGGGCACCAGAAUGACUCUUUUUGUUCCAGUGGUUCUCAAAUUCACAUCCUCUGUCGAAGAGGUCUAUAAAUGUCAUCCAGUCAUACCAGGGCUUCAGUGCCUCUCCCUCUCCCUAUGGGAGCCUCAGACACACCACAUCUAGUCAUAAAUAUUUCCUCUUCUCCCUGUGUCUAUCGGGCAACAAAGCCUUCUCGAAUGCCCAUAUUGGACUGAAAUAUUUCCUUUUUUUUUUCAGUGGUGGACACAUACCUACACUCUCUUGUAAAGUGUAAAUAGAUCUUGUCUUAUUGACUAUGUGUGCCUGCUAUAUUACAACUGUCUAAGAUUACUUCCAAACUUCUUCCUGUUACAAAUAUUCGGAGACAUUCCUCCAUUCAAGAAAAGUGGCCUUGCUCUUAUGUCAUCUGACUAAAGGUUUCAUAGACCAAAAAUAACCAUCCAACCUGUUGGAAUACUGAAACAAUUGCUGCCUGCUUUCCACACGCUACAUAAAAUAUGUGGAUAUCCUAAAUUCUACAAAAAAGAUUUGUAAGGGUAAAUCAGUUUACUAUCUUUGUUUUGUUACCUUAGACAGAGACAUCCUGGCCUCCAUGCAGAGGAAUGUGUGGAUGGACAUAUAUUUAAGGAAGACACUAAACCAGAAAAUACUACAUUACACCCUCUUAAAAGACUUCUAAGAUUGUUGUCAUGCCUACCACUGACAUUCAGAUGAUGUGUAUUCUUGAUUGUGAUUUCAUGUUUGGAGCUGAUGAAGGAACCCAGGAGAAGAACAUAUGCCUGAGAAGAAGAACUAGUGUGGAAUUGUCAGCCAGGUUUUUGGUGAGUGCUCAGACUCCUUCCUGAUCCGGCACCACAUUUACUACAGUGGACAGAUGUUCUAGUCUCUGAUGAGGAGUUGCUAGCUGUAAGGAAGUACCUGGAAUGGGCUCCACUGCAUGAGGUUUGAAGUCUCCAGAGCAGCAAGGAGAGUGGGGAGUAGAACUCAUCAUCUUUAGGUCACUCAUCCCCGAUGGAUUGUUCCCAACCUUAGUAUACAGACAUGGAUGGUUGAACACAAACCUGUCAGGCUGACAACGCAAUAGACAUCUACUAAAGUCCUUGGAACCAUGUUCAGAGUGCUGCACAUCCUCCUAAAGAUGCCACGGAUGACAUGGUUCCUUGUGAUUGUUGUUCUCUUCUUGUUGUUGCUGUUUUCUUUUAACUUUUGAAGAGGAUACAUUAUUAGUCUGUUGCUAUGUUAGUCAUCUCCUGGCAUUAGAAACCAACAUGCCACUGCUUAAAUGUUUUACAUUUCCUACUCUUUUUGGAAAACACAAUGUAUGCACAUCAUUUUUUCCUAUUGUUUCAAAGACAUACCACUAUGUAAUUCAACUUUACAAUUGGAAUCAUUUUGACCAAUAUUCACAUGAAUAUAAAUUUUAUGUGUAAA